AUCCUCCUGACCUGCAGUAUCCCAGAGCCCCAGAUUAACAGUGCUCCCAUCGACAACCACAUUUGCACUAAAAUUGUCAAAUACAGUUGGGACAUAAUCAGUGGGAAAAGUGUUGCUGGUAUACGAAAUGAGAAGACAAGUUUUACCCACAGCUCCAUCGCCCACGGUAACACACUUUAUAAACCUAGAAGCACUCAUUCUUCCAAACCCAAUUCGCCCUUCUCAGCAACUCCCUCAACUUGUUCUUUUAUUUGCUCAAAAUCUUUCUCUAUCUGUGUUCUUUCCUCCACCUUUAUCACAAUACAAAUGAUGAAUGGAGUAAAG
RNAcentral lists this unclassified non-coding RNA (324 nucleotides) under Hevea brasiliensis (rubber tree). The record is from RNAcentral. Lineage: Eukaryota; Viridiplantae; Streptophyta; Magnoliopsida; Malpighiales; Euphorbiaceae.